CGGCAAUGGAGGAAACUCUGACCGAGCAACGCCGCGUGAAUGACGAAGUACUUCGGUAUGUAAAGUUCUUUUAUCAAGGAAGAAAAGCAAAUGGCGAACCAUUUGUUUGCCGGUACUUGAUGAAUAAGCCCCGGCUAAUUAUGUGCCAGCAGCCGCGGUAAGACAUAAGGGGCAAGUGUUAUCCGGAAUUAUUGGGCGUAAAGGGUGCGUAGGCGGUCUAGUAAGUCAGUGGUGUAAUGGCAACGCUUAACGUUGUCCGGCUAUUGAAACUGCUAAACUUGAGUUAGAUAGAGGCGAGUGGAAUUCCAUGUGUAGCGGUAAAAUGCGUAAAUAUAUGGAGGAACACCAGAGGCGUAGGCGGCUCGCUGGGUCUUAACUGACGCUGAGGCACGAAAGCGUGGGGAGCAAACAGGAUUAGAUACCCUGGUAGUCCACGCCGUAAACGAUGAGUACUAAGUGUCGGGUUAAACCGGUACUGAAGUUAACACAUUAAGUACUCCGCCUGAGUAGUACGUACGCAAGUAUGAAACUUAAAGGAAUUGACGGGACUCCGCACAAGCGGUGGAUCAUGUUGUUUAAUUCGAAGAUACCCGAAAAACCUUACCAGGUCUUGACAUGUUUUUGCAAAAUGAUAGUAAUAUCGUGGAGGUUACCAGAAACACAGGUGGUGCAUGGUUGUCGUCAGCUCGUGUCGUGAGAUGUUAGGUUAAGUCCUAAAACGAGCGAAACCCUUAUCGUUAGUUGCCAGCACGUUAUGGUGGGGACUUUAACGAGACUGCCAAUGAUAAAUUGGAGGAAGGUGAGGAUCACGUCAAAUCAGCAUGCCCCUUAUGACCUGGGCUACAAACGUGAUACAAUGGCUGUUACAAAGGGUAGCUGAA
This 881-nucleotide ribosomal RNA is filed under the name 'Solanum lycopersicum' phytoplasma (Saudi Arabia). Its description in RNAcentral is "bacterial SSU rRNA". It matches the Rfam family "Bacterial small subunit ribosomal RNA", at positions 366 to 1254 of the family's 1533-position model. The record is from RNAcentral. Lineage: Bacteria; Bacillati; Mycoplasmatota; Mollicutes; Acholeplasmatales; Acholeplasmataceae.